Molecule: ribosomal RNA, 542 nt
Filed under: uncultured bacterium
Lineage: Bacteria
Description: bacterial SSU rRNA
Rfam family: Bacterial small subunit ribosomal RNA
Source: RNAcentral
UUAGGAAUUUUGGGCAAUGGGCGAAAGCCUGACCCAGCAACGCCGCGUGGGUGAUGAAGGCCUUCGGGUCGUAAAGCCCUUUUUCAGGGGAAGAUAAUGACGGUACCCUGAGAAUAAGCCCCGGCUAACUACGUGCCAGCAGCCGCGGUAAUACGUAGGGGGCAAGCGUUGUCCGGAUUUAUUGGGCGUAAAGCGCGCGUAGGCGGCGCGGUAUGUCGUGCGUGAAAUCUCCCGGCUUAACUGGGAGGGCCGUGCGAAACUGCCGGGCUUGAGGUCGGAAGGGGAAAGUGGAAUUCCGGGUGUAGUGGUGGAAUACGUAGAUAUCCGGAGGAACACCAGCGGCGAAGGCGGCUUUCUGGUCCGAUACUGACGCUGAGGUGCGAAAGCGUGGGGAGCGAUCCGGAUUAGAUACCCGGGUAGUCCACGCCGUAAACGAUGAGUACUAGGUGUCGGGGGUAUCGACCCCCUCGGUGCCGUCGCUAACGCAUUAAGUACUCCGCCUGGGGACUACGGCCGCAAGGCUAAAACUCAAAGAAAUUGAC